This 72-nucleotide transfer RNA is filed under the name Bos taurus (domestic cattle). It matches the Rfam family "tRNA". From Rfam's summary of the family: Transfer RNA (tRNA) molecules are approximately 80 nucleotides in length. Lineage: Eukaryota; Metazoa; Chordata; Mammalia; Artiodactyla; Bovidae. RNAcentral also lists the same sequence under 5 other names. The record is from Rfam by way of RNAcentral.
UUCCUGGCAGUCCAGUGGUUAGAACUUAGCACUUUCACUGCAGAGGCCCAAGUUCAAUCCUCGGUCAGGGAA